Molecule: ribosomal RNA, 924 nt
Filed under: Amaga expatria
Lineage: Eukaryota; Metazoa; Platyhelminthes; Tricladida; Geoplanidae
Description: 16S ribosomal RNA
Source: RNAcentral
UUCCUUUUUGUAUUACGGACUGUAGAAAAUUUAAAUUAUUUUAUAUUUCAAAAAGAGUGGAUUUAAAUUUGUUAAAAUAUUAUUUUGGAUAAUAAAUGAUUAAAAAUUUUUUAGAAAAUAAAAAAUAAAAAUAAACAAGUUUAGGUGUGAUAUUUUUUCGUUUCUUUUUAUUUAAUUAAGAUUAAUUUAUGUAUAAGCAUAAAAUUUUAAAAAAGAUAUUCUAUUUAUUAAAUAAAAAAAAAAAUAUUUUAUAUUGAUAAUUUAUUUUUUAUAAAUUUCAAGUUUAAUAAGUAUUUAUUAAUUAAAUUUUUUUUCUAGUUAAGAAUAUUAUGGUAUGAUUCUAAAUUUAAUUUUAUAUAACUCAAUUUUUAUACAACUGUUUCUUAAAAACAUUUUUUUUUAUUAUAAAAAAUAAAACCUGCUCAAUGAUUAUAAAAUUUUAAAUAGCUGCAGUAUCUUAACUGUACAAAGGUAGCGAAAUCACAUGCCUGAUAAUUGCGGGAUUGUGUGAAAGGUUCAUUGAUAUAAAUAAUGUUUUAUAAAAUUAUGAAUUUUAAAAAAUUUAAAGAACAGUAAAGAUUCUGUUUUUAUAAUUAAGACGAAAAGACCCUAUAGAGUUUUUAUUUAUUUUUUAUUUAAUUAAAAAAAUUAAAUUUUAGAUGGGGUAUUUAAUUUUAAUUUAAAAUUUUAUGUUAAAAAUAAAACUUCCUUAGGGAUAACAGGGUAAUAAAAUUUAAAAGUUCUAAUUAAAAAUUUUGAUUACUACCUCGAUGUUGAAUUAUAAUAAAAUUUAGGUGUAGAUGCUUAAAAUUUUAGUCUGUUCGACUAUUAAAAUUAUUCAUGAUUUGAGUUUAGACCGAUGUAAAUCAGGUUAGUUUUUAUCUAAUAUUGAAAAAGUUGUACGAAAGGAAUCUUUUUUCUUAA